GAUCUAGUGCAAUAGACUAGGAAGGGGGCUGUUCACAUAAUGGUUGACCAAUGUAUGGCAAUACAACCACAUUGUGAAACACUGGAGACAGUCUGCAUUUUAUUGAAAAGAACUCAUGUUAGUAUGUGUUGUCUUUCAGAUCCUUCAAUGUCUAGACGGCAGUAUCUUAUCGUUUUGUUAGCACUCUGCCUUUUUGCUACAAUUGCAAUUGUGGUCAUGGCAAUAUAUUUGAAGAAGAAAAGAGAAAAUAAUAUUAGUAGAUGUACAGCUCACAGUCUUGAAGAGUCGCAGUAUGCUGAUGUGAAACAUUGUGCACGUGCAAAGGAACAACAUCAGGAUGUCUUACAGGAG
This is a long non-coding RNA of Clupea harengus (Atlantic herring), 351 nucleotides long. RefSeq lists it as uncharacterized. The transcript has 3 exons. The record is from RefSeq and is a predicted model, not a curated record. NCBI's taxonomy places the organism in Eukaryota, Metazoa, Chordata, Actinopteri, Clupeiformes, Clupeidae.